CAAAACCAUGUACAUCAUUUGUCCUGACUUAUUUACAGUGGUUUAGAUGAACAGACUGAGACUAGCAUGUGAUGCCUUCUGAGUGGCUGGCCCUAGCAGUAGGUUUGUUUUGUUUGGUAUCUUUGAAUAUAUCAAAUGGUAUAUUGAACAGGCAUUUCCUUCCAGUAAAUAAUUGGGCAGGCAAAGCUAUUAACUUCCAACCAGGGCAUUAUUUCUGCUCUGCCCACUCUAGUUGGCUCAACAGACUGAAAAUUGUUAAGUGGUCAUUCUGUAUCAGUCCCACCUCUCUCUGCCCCAGGAUAACUUUUACGGUCACAAACAAGAAGACAGCACAAGGACUAUGGCUAACAACACAUCAUCAUCUCAACUCAACAUGAAAACCAGGGCUGGGCUGCCUGCGGGGCCCUCUGAGCAGUGCUGGGAUUUCUCUUCCCUCACAAUGAGUUAGUUCUCAUUAAUCUUCCACGAGCUCUGCUUCCACUGCAGGCAAUGCUUUUUGAUGAGUCCUCUCAUCUCCACCAAGACCACUCCAUCUUCAUCUGUGUCUAAGGCUUUAGUUGUGCCUGGCUGGCAACCUCAAACUCUUUGGCCACAAGCGAGAUGCAGGAAUUAAGCAAAAACAGAUCUCCAAGCAACCAAAAUAAUCAUCACACAUUGUAGGACGGAUUCAGGCACUCAAAUGCCUACAGGCAGGUUAUUGAUCAGUGCAGUUCUGCGGAACAUAAAUAUUUUGGGCACUGAAUUCUUCAUCCUGACAUGGAAAGUUAAGUUCUGAUCUUUUAAACCUGGCUGAGGAGGAAGAUUAUGGGAGAAUACAUUUCACAAAAGUACAGAGCUGAAGGGCAAAGUUUCGAAAGCCCAACUCCCAUCCAUCCAUUCUCCAGAAAUGUGGUGUCAAAAGGAGACACAAGGUAAAUGGAUUUGGGGAAAGCCUUCUGCCACUUAUUGCUUUGUCUAGAAGCACUUAAGAAAGAAUGCCACAUGCUGGGUGCCGUGGCUAAUGCCUG
RNAcentral lists this long non-coding RNA (1007 nucleotides) under Homo sapiens (human). Its description in RNAcentral is "HSALNT0332477". Lineage: Eukaryota; Metazoa; Chordata; Mammalia; Primates; Hominidae. The record is from RNAcentral.